CCCUUAGAUGUUCGGAGCUGCACGCGCGCUACACUGAAGGAAGCAGCGUGUUAGAGCACCUGGCCCGCGAGGGCUGGGUAAUCCGGUGAAUGUCCUUCGUGAUUGGGAUAAGGACUUGUAAUUAUUUCCCUUGAACGAGGAAUACCUAGUAAGUGCGAGUCAUCAGCUUGCGCUGACUACGUCCCUGCCCCUUGUACACACCGCCCGUCGCUCCUACCGAUUGAAUGAUCCGAUGAAUACCAUGGAUUGAGAGUACGAAUAGGUUCGCUUAUUUCUGCUGCUCGAGAAGUGGAGUAAAUCUUAUCAUUUAGAGGAAGGAGAAGUCGUAACA
RNAcentral lists this ribosomal RNA (331 nucleotides) under uncultured eukaryote. RNAcentral describes it as "partial 18S ribosomal RNA". It matches the Rfam family "Eukaryotic small subunit ribosomal RNA", at positions 1470 to 1796 of the family's 1831-position model. The record is from RNAcentral.